UGAAUAUGGGGGGACCAUCCUCCAAGGCUAAAUACUCCUGACUGACCGAUAGUGAACCAGUACCGUGAGGGAAAGGCGAAAAGAACCCCGGCGAGGGGAGUGAAAAAGAACCUGAAACCGUGUACGUACAAGCAGUGGGAGCCUCUUUUAUGGGGUGACUGCGUACCUUUUGUAUAAUGGGUCAGCGACUUAUAUUCUGUAGCAAGGUUAACCGAAUAGGGGAGCCGAAGGGAAACCGAGUCUUAACUGGGCGUUAAGUUGCAGGGUAUAGACCCGAAACCCGGUGAUCUAGCCAUGGGCAGGUUGAAGGUUGGGUAACACUAACUGGAGGACCGAACCGACUAAUGUUGAAAAAUUAGCGGAUGACUUGUGGCUGGGGGUGAAAGGCCAAUCAAACCGGGAGAUAGCUGGUUCUCCCCGAAAGCUAUUUAGGUAGCGCCUCGUGAAUUCAUCUCCGGGGGUAGAGCACUGUUUCGGCAAGGGGGUCAUCCCGACUUACCAACCCGAUGCAAACUGCGAAUACCGGAGAAUGUUAUCACGGGAGACACACGGCGGGUGCUAACGUCCGUCGUGAAGAGGGAAACAACCCAGACCGCCAGCUAAGGUCCCAAAGUCAUGGUUAAGUGGGAAACGAUGUGGGAAGGCCCAGACAGCCAGGAUGUUGGCUUAGAAGCAGCCAUCAUUUAAAGAAAGCGUAAUAGCUCACUGGUCGAGUCGGCCUGCGCGGAAGAUGUAACGGGGCUAAACCAUGCACCGAAGCUGCGGCAGCGACGCUUAUGCGUUGUUGGGUAGGGGAGCGUUCUGUAAGCCUGUGAAGGUGUACUGUGAGGUAUGCUGGAGGUAUCAGAAGUGCGAAUGCUGACAUAAGUAACGAUAAAGCGGGUGAAAAGCCCGCUCGCCGGAAGACCAAGGGUUCCUGUCCAACGUUAAUCGGGGCAGGGUGAGUCGACCCCUAAGGCGAGGCCGAAAGGCGUAGUCGAUGGGAAACAGGUUAAUAUUCCUGUACUUGGUGUUACUGCGAAGGGGGGACGGAGAAGGCUAUGUUGGCCGGGCGACGGUUGUCCCGGUUUAAGCGUGUAGGCUGGUUUUCCAGGCAAAUCCGGAAAAUCAAGGCUGAGGCGUGAUGACGAGGCACUACGGUGCUGAAGCAACAAAUGCCCUGCUUCCAGGAAAAGCCUCUAAGCAUCAGGUAACAUCAAAUCGUACCCCAAACCGACACAGGUGGUCAGGUAGAGAAUACCAAGGCGCUUGAGAGAACUCGGGUGAAGGAACUAGGCAAAAUGGUGCCGUAACUUCGGGAGAAGGCACGCUGAUAUGUAGGUGAAGCGACUUGCUCGUGGAGCUGAAAUCAGUCGAAGAUACCAGCUGGCUGCAACUGUUUAUUAAAAACACAGCACUGUGCAAACACGAAAGUGGACGUAUACGGUGUGACGCCUGCCCGGUGCCGGAAGGUUAAUUGAUGGGGUUAGCGGUAACGCGAAGCUCUUGAUCGAAGCCCCGGUAAACGGCGGCCGUAACUAUAACGGUCCUAAGGUAGCGAAAUUCCUUGUCGGGUAAGUUCCGACCUGCACGAAUGGCGUAAUGAUGGCCAGGCUGUCUCCACCCGAGACUCAGUGAAAUUGAACUCGCUGUGAAGAUGCAGUGUACCCGCGGCAAGACGGAAAGACCCCGUGAACCUUUACUAUAGCUUGACACUGAACAUUGAGCCUUGAUGUGUAGGAUAGGUGGGAGGCUUUGAAGUGUGG
Molecule: ribosomal RNA, 1745 nt
Filed under: Escherichia coli
Lineage: Bacteria; Pseudomonadati; Pseudomonadota; Gammaproteobacteria; Enterobacterales; Enterobacteriaceae
Description: partial 23S ribosomal RNA
Rfam family: Bacterial large subunit ribosomal RNA
Source: RNAcentral